This 458-nucleotide ribosomal RNA is filed under the name uncultured bacterium. RNAcentral describes it as "partial 16S ribosomal RNA". It matches the Rfam family "Bacterial small subunit ribosomal RNA", at positions 338 to 795 of the family's 1533-position model. The record is from RNAcentral.
CCUACGGGAGGCAGCAGUGGGGGAUAUUGGUCAAUGGGCGAGAGCCUGAACCAGCGAAGUCGCGUGAGGGAGUACUGCCCUAUGGGUUGUAAACCUCUUUUGUAGGGGAGCAAAAGCCGGACGUGUCCGGCUGUGAGAGUACCCGAAGAAAAGGCAUCGGCUAACUCCGUGCCAGCAGCGGCGGUAAUACGGAGGAUGCGAGCGUUAUCCGGAUGUAUUGGGUUUAAAGGGUGCGUAGGCGGUCCGUUAAGUCAGCGGUAAAAGUGCGGGGCUCAACCCCGUAGAGCCGUUGAAACUGGCAGACUUGAGUGGGCGAGAAGUACGCGGAAUGCGCGGUGUAGCGGUGAAAUGCAUAGAUAUCGCGCAGAACUCCGAUUGCGAAGGCAGCGUACCGGCGCCAGACUGACGCUGAGGCACGAAAGCGUGGGGAUCGAACAGGAUUAGAUACCCCUGUAGUC